Molecule: ribosomal RNA, 460 nt
Filed under: uncultured bacterium
Lineage: Bacteria
Description: partial 16S ribosomal RNA
Rfam family: Bacterial small subunit ribosomal RNA
Source: RNAcentral
CCUACGGGGGGCAGCAGUGAGGAAUAUUUGUCAAUGGACGAGAGUCUGAACCAGCCAAGUAGCGUGAAGGAUGACUGCCCUAUGGGUUGUAAACUUCUUUUAUAUGGGAAUAAAACGUUCCACGUGUGGGAUUUUGUAUGUACCAUAUGAAUAAGGAUCGGCUAACUCCGUGCCAGCAGCCGCGGUAAUACGGAGGAUCCGAGCGUUAUCCGGAUUUAUUGGGUUUAAAGGGAGCGUAGGUGGAUUGUUAAGUCAGUUGUGAAAGUUUGCGGCUCAACCGUAAAAUUGCAGUUGAAACUGGCAGUCUUGAGUACAGUAGAGGUGGGCGGAAUUCGUGGUGUAGCGGUGAAAUGCUUAGAUAUCACGAAGAACUCCGAUUGCGAAGGCAGUUCACUGGACUGCAACUGACACUGAGGCUCGAAAGUGUGGGUAUCAAACAGGAUUAGAUACCCCAGUAGUC